AGUUAAUAGGUAUGCUUUAGGAGGGGCUUGCGCCAUAUUAGUUAGUUGGUAGGGUAAUGGCCUACCAAGACGAUGAUGUGUAGCUGGACUGAGAGGUUGAACAGCCACAUUGGGACUGAGACACGGCCCAAACUCCUACGGGAGGCAGCAGUAGGGAAUUUUCGGCAAUGGAGGAAACUCUGACCGAGCAACGCCGCGUGAAUGACGAAGUACUUCGGUAUGUAAAGUUCUUUUAUCGAGGAAGAAAAGCAAAUGGCGAACCAUUUGUUUGCCGGUACUUGAUGAAUAAGCCCCGGCUAAUUAUGUGCCAGCAGCCGCGGUAAGACAUAAGGGGCAAGUGUUAUCCGGAAUUAUUGGGCGUAAAGGGUGCGUAGGCGGUCUAGUAAGUCAGUGGUGUAAUGUCAACGCUUAACGUUGUCCGGCUAUUGAAACUGCUAAACUUGAGUUAGAUAGAGGCGAGUGGAAUUCCAUGUGUAGCGGUAAAAUGCGUAAAUAUAUGGAGAAACACCAGAGGCGUAGGCGGCUCGCUGGGUCUUAACUGACGCUGAGGCACGAAAGCGUGGGGAGCAAACAGGAUUAGAUACCCUGGUAGUCCACGCCGUAAACGAUGAGUACUAAGUGUCGGGUUAAACCGGUACUGAAGUUAACACAUUAAGUACUCCGCCUGAGUAGUACGUACGCAAGUAUGAAACUUAAAGGAAUUGACGGGACGUCCGCCAAGCGGUGGAUCAUGUUGUUUAAUUCGAAGAUACCCGAAAAACCUUACCAGGUCUUGACAUGUUUUUGCAAAAUGAUAGUAAUAUCGUGGAGGUUACCAGAAACACAGGUGGUGCAUGGUUGUCGUCAGCUCGUGUCGUGAGAUGUUAGGUUAAGUCCUAAAACGAGCGAAACCCUUAUCGUUAGUUGCCAGCACGUUAUGGUGGGGACUUUAACGAGACUGCCAAUGAUAAAUUGGAGGAAGGUGAGGAUCACGUCAAAUCAGCAUGCCCCUUAUGACCUGGGCUACAAACGUGAUACAAUGGCUGUUACAAAGGGUAGCUGAAACGCAAGUUCUUGGCCAAUCCCCAAAAACAGUCCCAGUCCGGAUUGAAGUCUGCAACUCGACUUCAUGAAGUUGGAAUCGCUAGUAAUCGCGAAUCAGCAUGUCGCGGUGAAUACGUU
Molecule: ribosomal RNA, 1161 nt
Filed under: Sesame phyllody phytoplasma
Lineage: Bacteria; Bacillati; Mycoplasmatota; Mollicutes; Acholeplasmatales; Acholeplasmataceae
Description: bacterial SSU rRNA
Rfam family: Bacterial small subunit ribosomal RNA
Source: RNAcentral